RNAcentral lists this ribosomal RNA (692 nucleotides) under uncultured bacterium. RNAcentral describes it as "bacterial SSU rRNA". It matches the Rfam family "Bacterial small subunit ribosomal RNA", at positions 32 to 715 of the family's 1533-position model. The record is from RNAcentral.
AACGCUAGCUACAGGCUUAACACAUGCAAGUCGAGGGGCAGCAUAAAAGUAGCAAUACUUUGGUGGCGACCGGCGCACGGGUGAGUAACGCGUAUGCAACCUACCUAUCAGAGGGGGAUAACCCGGCGAAAGUCGGACUAAUACCGCAUAAAACAGGGGCACCGCAUGGUGAUAUUUGUUAAAAAUUUAUUGCUGAUAGAUGGGCAUGCGUUCCAUUAGGUAGUUGGAGAGGUAACGGCUCACCAAGCCCACGAUGAAUAGGGGAACUGAGAGGUUGGUCCCCCACACUGGUACUGAGACACGGACCAGACUCCUACGGGAGGCAGCAGUGAGGAAUAUUGGUCAAUGGGCGAGAGCCUGAACCAGCCAAGUCGCGUGAAGGAAGAAGGAUCUAUGGUUCGUAAACUUCUUUUGCAGGGGAAUAAAGUGCAGGACGUGUCCUGUUUUGUAUGUACCCUGAGAAUAAGGAUCGGCUAACUCCGUGCCAGCAGCCGCGGUAAUACGGAGGAUCCGAGCGUUAUCCGGAUUUAUUGGGUUUAAAGGGUGCGUAGGUGGUUUAAUAAGUCAGCGGUGAAAGUUUGCAGCUUAACUGUAAAAAUGCCGUUGAAACUGUUAGACUUGAGUGUAAAUGAGGUAGGCGGAAUGCGUGGUGUAGCGGUGAAAUGCUUAGAUAUCACGAAGAACUCCGAUUG